UGCGUAGGUGGUUGGUUAAGUUUGAGGUGAAAGCUCCGAGCUCAACUCGGAAAAUGCCUUGAAGACUAUCUGACUAGAGGAUUGGAGGGGAGAUUGGAAUUCUCGGUGUAGCAGUGAAAUGCGUAGAUAUCGAGAGAAACACCAGUGGCGAAGGCGAAUCUCUGGACAAUUCCUGACACUGAGGCACGAAAGCCAAGGGAGCAAACG
This 207-nucleotide ribosomal RNA is filed under the name uncultured bacterium. RNAcentral's name for it is "partial 16S ribosomal RNA". It matches the Rfam family "Bacterial small subunit ribosomal RNA", at positions 568 to 774 of the family's 1533-position model. The record is from RNAcentral.